AUAUCUAAUUCCUGCUUUCCUGCCUUGCAGCACCCUAUGAAGGUGGAGUGUGGAAAGUUCGAGUCGACCUUCCUGACAAAUACCCCUUCAAGUCCCCGUCUAUAGGAUUCAUGAAUAAAAUCUUCCAUCCCAACAUUGACGAAGCGUCAGGAACUGUCUGUCUAGAUGUAAUCAAUCAAACCUGGACAGCUCUCUA
Non-coding RNA from Zonotrichia albicollis (white-throated sparrow), 196 nucleotides. The record is from RefSeq and is a predicted model, not a curated record. Lineage: Eukaryota; Metazoa; Chordata; Aves; Passeriformes; Passerellidae.